Molecule: RNA transcript, 1107 nt
Organism: Impatiens glandulifera
Lineage: Eukaryota; Viridiplantae; Streptophyta; Magnoliopsida; Ericales; Balsaminaceae
Gene name: calcium-transporting ATPase 8, plasma membrane-type-like
Exons: 11
Source: RefSeq, a predicted model, not a curated record
GUGGAAUCACACUAAUUUAGAUUUGGUUGUUACCAGUGCUGGAGACAACAAGAAGAUGUCACUAUGGCGAAAAAACGGACAGAGUAUGGGGACUAUUCCUUUGGCUGGCAACGAUGUUGUAGAUAACAUUGAGGGUGAAGAAACAAAGGUUUCAGUCUUUGAUGAUUGUCCGUCGUCUCCUAAAACACCUCUACAGGCCAUGGGAACAGGGCAAAAAUAACAACAAAUUCAACCGAGGGGACAAUGAAGCAAUGUUCAAUGAAGUUAUUUCAAUGAAGAUGAUCUCUUGGUACCGAUGGAUGAAUACAAGUCAGAAGUUUUCAGAAGAGCCAUUGAAGAUAUGGCUUUCAGAAGUUUGCGUUCACAUGCUGAGGAGGAACUGUCUACUUGGAAAAUACCUGAUGACGACCUUGUAUUGCUGACUAUUAUUGGCCUGAAGGAUCCUUGUCGACCUGGUGUCAGAGAAGCUGUUCAACUAUGUACAAAUGCUGGAGUUAAGAUAUUCAAUGAGGUGAAUGCAAGGAAGCCAGAUGAGAUGAACGUAUUUAAGGGAGUGACUAAGAAUCGUCUCUUCAUGUUGAUAGUUGGACUAACUAUUGUGCUCCAGGUGAUUAAAAUAUUCUUCCUUGGGAAGUUCUUUUCAAUUGUUAGGCUUAACUGGAAAUUGUGGCUUGUAUCUGUUGCAAUUGGAUUUGUGAGUUGGCCACUUGCAAUAGUUGGGAAAAUGAUCCUAGUUUCAGAGACACCAUUCAGUGACUUGUCAAGAUUAUUCAAGAGUAUAUGUCCUAGGAAGAAGAAUACAAAUGUAGUACCAUCACCAGAUAUCCAGACAGAAAUGGAGGAAACAAAUUUGCACAGUGAGAGGAUAUAUAUUUAGAUUCCAAUAAUUGAAGAUCAAUGCAUUUUCCUUUUAGCGGUUUAAUUGUGAAGAAUGAAUGAUUUAGGUGUUAUAUGCUCGUCUUCAUCCUUGAGCUGUCAAUUGCAUGAAGAAGCAACUAACUGUGGUUCAAGAAGAAUCUGAUGUCAAGAAGAAAAUUAAGUGGAUAAAAACUAUGUUCUUUAUUGAAUAAAAUUAUUUUUUUGUUUGAAAUAUUUUAUUGUAGUGAA